This is a long non-coding RNA of Prosopis cineraria, 2668 nucleotides long. RefSeq lists it as uncharacterized. The record is from RefSeq and is a predicted model, not a curated record. Lineage: Eukaryota; Viridiplantae; Streptophyta; Magnoliopsida; Fabales; Fabaceae. The transcript has 3 exons.
CACUUUUCCAAACCGAAGAUGUCGAUUCUCCCAGUCUCAUUCCUCAGCUCUCGCCAGUUGUAAAGUCCGUCGUCUCUCGCUGUUCAAGAUCUGUGGUGCUUCAUCUCCUUAAACGACGAGAUUCUACUCAGAACAAGGGUUGGUGGAGCGAAGGUUUUGAGUAUGGGCUAUGGAUUGGGAAGACGAUGCACAAAGAAGAAGAAGAAGAAUUAAAAAAAAAAUUCCAAUGAGUUCAUAAAGAACAUACCUGAAGUUCCUAUUUCCGAGAUACAGGGGUCAACUUAUCUCCUGCUCUGGCAAUCUUCGCUUCACUGUUCGUGCUACUUCAUUGUUCCACUUCUUGAUUCAUGUAUCAUAACUCAUGCUGAUGAUGCCCGUCACUUGAGUAGUCUGCAGGUAUAUAUUUUUUCAGCUGUCUAUUUUUGCAAGUAUGUAUCUAUCUGUAAAUUUUUUUUAAGGAACUAAUCACUACCUGAAUCAUUUGCUUUAUUUUUCUGUAUAACCUUAAAUAUGCAGUCCCUACAAAAUUUCAAGUUCAUGACUAGCAAUGCAGACAUUUUAUGAUUUAUUUUCAGUCCCCAUAAGAUGCAAAAGACACAGUUUUACUUCAAUGAGAAUUUAGGACCAGCUUACCCUAAAAGGAAGACUAGAGGAUUCGUAAGCUUACUGAUGAACUGUUUUGGAAUCUCUUGGAACAUCACCAAAAUAAGGCAGCAUCAAAUUUUGUGUUAACGCUUCUGUUACCCCUCAUUAGUAACUUUGACUGACUCAGUGGAUUCUCCACAGGACAUUUUGAUACAUACUCCAGUUACUCAUUGAUUUAUGGGUCUGUGUAUAUUUUGGCUUGAUUUUUGUCUUUCUUCAAUUGAUGUUUGGCACAUGUUAUCUCAAACUUGAACACAAAAAUAUCUUGCAAGUAGUUGCUAUGACAAUUUUGCAAUUGUCUUCUUCUACAACUAAAGCUCCUGCUUCACUAGAAUCUUGCAGGAAGUUGCUAUGACAAUUUUUCAAUUAUUAGCUAUAUGCACAAUAAUUUUGUAUUAGCCAAUUAAGAGAGUCUUUUGUUCAUGGUAAAAAAGGUGCAUGAAGAAAGUAGGACCUGUUAAAAUCAUUGCAUAGUUUAAUUUGAACCACCUCUUUAUCCAAUGGUAGGCUUUAUAUGUUGUACUUUUUCCUGUUAGUAUUAACUGUCUCUUUUACUUGCACAACUUUCAUUUGAACUUGUGAUUUUAGUUUCUUAAUCACUCUUGCCGAAGGUAAAGAGCAGAGACUUAGCCUAGCUUUUGGUCAUACCUAUUUUUACAUCAAAAUAUAAUAACAUUCUUUUCAGGAGCAACUCAUCUCUUCUUUGGCAAUUAAAAUUUCUGAAAUCGUAUGUUGGUAAGAUUUUGCUGGUGCUAUAAAACUCUAGAGGUUUUAAUUUGUUCUACUAUUAUGUUGUUAUUUUAUUUUGAUUUUAGAAUCUGUUUGUUAAUCUUUUAAACAGCUCAUGCUUAGUCUGUGCUAUUAUGCACGAAACAUUCUUGAAUCUUUGACAUUUGAUAUGUAUCUGAUGUUGCAUUUAGAGAUUUUAUACGGACCUAUGGGAACCAAUAUGCUUGCAUUGAUGAGCGUAAACUUCUUAUCAAUCGAUCAGUUUUUAAAGAUGGUGGAAAGGAAGAGAGAAAGUAGGACCCAACAUCAUUAGCCAUGAAAUGUUAUUUUGUUAGGACAUAAUCUUGUGCAUCAAUUGAUGAGUGGGAUUCUUAAAAAUUAUCAAUAUUUGGCAAGUCAAUUCUUGAAGUUCGAUCUUUAUUUAUGCAUGCUCACACAUUACCCAGCUGGGACAAGUUUAUGGCUUCAUAGAUGCUAUUUUUAGUUUUAUAUCUUAUGUUCUUCUUCCCUUCUACACCAAAAACAGUUGAUCCAAGUUACUGACAUCAAGUAUUUUGUCCUCAACCUUAACAGUUGAUAUUGGCAUGGAAUAUGUGGAUGUUCAAACAAUUAAAGAUGUUUUUUUUUCAAGUAUGAUCAAUUAUUUUGUCACCUGUAUAUGGACUUUUUUUACCCCUUUUCUGUGUAUGAGAAAACUGAGUUAUGUUUUCAUUUCCUUGUAGGAUGAAAAUGAUGAAAUUGUUUAUCACAAUGGAAAAGCACAUAUUCAUACUGAUGAAACUGGAUUUAUUUCUAAGGAUUUAGUUGUGCUUUGCCCUAGAAAUGUGUUUAUAACAACAUACUCCUAUUUUUAUCGGUAUUACCCAUGUGCUUUCUUCAUAGAUGACAAUAAUGCAAAUGCUUGGAAAAUUGUUCCUGUAUUACUCAUGCUAACUCAGAUAUCAGCAAAGGGGUCAGUGGCUGCAUCAUCUGGUUGGGAGAUCUAAAUGUAGAAGACAGGUUUCAGCUGCUGGGCGAGAUCUAUAUAUAUAUCCGAUUGGCUGUUUCUGAAAUAUGUUUGAUCCUUUAUCGGUCAUAUGCUGAUUAUCUUUUGACAGCUUAACUACUUUAUUUUUCUGUGCAUUGAUUGUUAAUUUGAUUAAGUGUAAAGCUAACCUUGAAGAUAUGCAUUUGUUUUGUUCUGAUCAUGUGGAAAUUUUUAGUAGUUGAUUGUCUAAUUGUCUUCUCUGUAUUGAACUCCCAUUUUCCAUUACCCAAUGAUAUGUUUGUGGUAGAUUUAAGUUUCAAGGUUUAA